GAGUUAUUACAAUUCUUUUAGAAUUCUUCUAGCAGGUUUUCUGACUUCCGUCAGAAAAAUCUUG
Molecule: non-coding RNA, 64 nt
Organism: Arvicanthis niloticus (Nile rat)
Lineage: Eukaryota; Metazoa; Chordata; Mammalia; Rodentia; Muridae
Source: RefSeq, a predicted model, not a curated record